AGGAUGUGGCGUUGCCCAGACAACUAGGAUGUUGGCUUAGAAGCAGCCAUCAUUUAAAGAGUGCGUAAUAGCUCACUAGUCGAGUGACACUGCGCCGAAAAUGUACCGGGGCUAAACAUAUUACCGAAGCUGUGGAUUGUCCUUUGGACAAUGGUAGGAGAGCGUUCUAAGGGCGUUGAAGCAUGAUCGUAAGGACAUGUGGAGCGCUUAGAAGUGAGAAUGCCGGUGUGAGUAGCGAAAGACGGGUGAGAAUCCCGUCCACCGAUUGACUAAGGUUUCCAGAGGAAGGCUCGUCCGCUCUGGGUUAGUCGGGUCCUAAGCUGAGGCCGACAGGCGUAGGCGAUGGAUAACAGGUUGAUAUUCCUGUACCACCUAUAAUCGUUUUAAUCGAUGGGGGGACGCAGUAGGAUAGGCGAAGCGUGCGAUUGGAUUGCACGUCUAAGCAGUAAGGCUGAGUAUUAGGCAAAUCCGGUACUCAUUAAGGCUGAGCUGUGAUGGGGAGAAGACAUUGUGUCUUCGAGUCGUUGAUUUCACACUGCCGAGAAAAGCCUCUAGAUAGAAAAUAGGUGCCCGUACCGCAAACCGACACAGGUAGUCAAGAUGAGAAUUCUAAGGUGAGCGAGCGAACUCUCGUUAAG
This 638-nucleotide ribosomal RNA is filed under the name Staphylococcus aureus. RNAcentral describes it as "partial 23S ribosomal RNA". It matches the Rfam family "Bacterial large subunit ribosomal RNA", at positions 1070 to 1709 of the family's 2925-position model. The record is from RNAcentral. Lineage: Bacteria; Bacillati; Bacillota; Bacilli; Caryophanales; Staphylococcaceae.